GUGCCUGGCCGUAUUUCCCAGGCUCAAAGAAAAUUGAAAGGACAUUUGGAAACCACAACAAAGUGAAGUGAACGGGCUGACCCUAGAUGUUUUGUUACCCGAAAGCGGAGGAUGACGAAGCAGCAGUCACCGUCUGUCGGUAGAAGAUGAGGAUGAAGAGCAAUGAAGGCAGCAUCCGCCUACGAUUAGAGCACUGACAGGACUCGGAUGGAUGCGGAAACGGUGCGCAAUAGCCGGUCGACGAAAAGAAGCGGCCCAUUGGCAUCAACUGCAGGAAGAGAAUGUCAGAAUACUAUAGCUGAAGCACGCCAAAAUGUUUGAUCGUCGGAUGAAGAUCAUCUCGGAAAAUACCUUUCCUUCAACGCUGUCAGUGCUGCAGUGCGAUCCUGGAUGGAAGAAUUUCUUGUCCGUCGAUCGGUCUGACCUGGACUCCACUAUCCUGGCCGAGAGAGAGACGCGCAACAUAUAUAUAUGUAUGUGUGUGUGUAAGAGCAUCGAGGGGUCGACUGCACAUGUGGCAGCACGUCAAAGCUAGCUCAUACCCCUCGGUAACCACUGACCCUCUCACGAGCUCCUUCUAGGAAGGUCCCAGACUCUCUCGGUAUAAAAAAGCCAUCCACCGCUCUCUACACCCACUAAACAAGACGGCCCACUCGUAAUCUUUUUAUAUUCUCAAACUGUGAAAAAGAAUGCAGCCGCGCCGAGCGUAUAUACAGGCAGCUGCAUCGGCCUGAAACUUUGCCCCCCAAGAAAAGCGAACGCCGCCAAAACAAGACGCAACUUCGCCAAACAUCAAUACCGAAAACGAUUCAACAAUCAGAUCCAAAAGAUUAUUCGGAACGAAAAAAAAUUUCAAAAACGGAAAGGGCCUUUUUGUCAUCGAUCCAAUUAGCAGAAAGCGCUGGUCUGUUUGACAGGAAACGUUAAAAAGCUCCCGGUUGGCCGCUAGUGUUUAGUUUAUAAACGGUGGGAGGGGAGUCACACGGUUGAGUAAGAAACAAGAAUCAAAGCGAAGGAGCCCACACACGUGAUGAGAUACAGGCGUUGUCUCGUUCCCAGCAGAACAAGCGCAAGAGAGAAGGAAGCCGCCCGCGCCCAUCCACAGAUCGUCGCUCAAGGAUUGUCUCAAUCAGCAUCUUUUUUCUUUCUUGUUCUGUUUUUGUUUGCCAGAAGACUGAUGCUGCAUGAGACGGAUCGCGUUUCAAUUUCCAUAAGCUGUUGCCGGUGCAAAGUAUAUACGGCGCUACUUGUUGUAUACGACACGGCAGUCCUCUCUCUCUUUUUUCUAUCCACCCUCUUCUCUUCUUCACCGAAAAAUUUCGCUUUCUCUUUUUUAGUUUCUUUAUUUUUUUUUACAGUCGACUAACUAAGGAGGACCAACCAGACAUGCUAAAGUUUACAAACCACUGGAUAUACAACCUUUCCCCAAAAUAGAUUUCGUGGAUAUGCAACACACAACACGCUUCCGAUUAGUUGUCAACAAGCUGGGGCAAAAAUUAUGAUAGCAAAUUGAUUAUUCUGUUCAGAUUCACCGUGAUUCUCCUUUUAAAGAAAAUGUUAUCCUGUUCUUGCAAAUGAGGUCGUCAUCACAGAUCAACUAGCGACAAGGUUGUUUGCGGUGUAUUUUUAAGUUAUUGUUUUACUAAUUUUAGUGACAUGUCCUUGAUAGUCUUCUCUAAAUAGGAAUGAUGAUUCACAACUCAGAAAACCUGUUAAUUGGAUGAUUAAUGCACAUGUCGAGUUGGA
RNAcentral lists this long non-coding RNA (1746 nucleotides) under Daphnia pulicaria. RNAcentral's name for it is "uncharacterized LOC124327427, transcript variant X1". The record is from RNAcentral. Lineage: Eukaryota; Metazoa; Arthropoda; Branchiopoda; Diplostraca; Daphniidae.